CGCCCCGUGGUCCAACGGCCACGACGCCCGGAUCACACCCGGGAGACGGGGGUUCGACUCCCUCCGGGGCGA
Molecule: transfer RNA, 72 nt
Filed under: bacterium
Lineage: Bacteria
Description: tRNA-Val
Rfam family: tRNA
About the family: Transfer RNA (tRNA) molecules are approximately 80 nucleotides in length. Their secondary structure includes four short double-helical elements and three loops (D, anti-codon, and T loops). Further hydrogen bonds mediate the characteristic L-shaped molecular structure. tRNAs have two regions of fundamental functional importance: the anti-codon, which is responsible for specific mRNA codon recognition, and the 3' end, to which the tRNAs corresponding amino acid is attached (by aminoacyl-tRNA synthetases). tRNAs cope with the degeneracy of the genetic code in two manners: having more than one tRNA (with a specific anti-codon) for a particular amino acid; and 'wobble' base-pairing, i.e. permitting non-standard base-pairing at the 3rd anti-codon position.
Source: RNAcentral